GAACUGCGAUAAGUAAUGUGAAUUGCAGAAUUCAGUGAAUCAUCGAGUCUUUGAACGCACAUUGCGCCCCCUGGCAUUCCGGGGGGCAUGCCUGUCCGAGCGUCAUUGCUGCCCUUCAAGCCCGGCUUGUGUGUUGGGUCGUCGUCCCCUCCGGGGGACGGGCCCGAAAGGCAGCGGCGGCACCGCGUCCGGACCUCGAGCGUAUGGGGCUUUGUCACCCGCUCGAUAAGGACCGGCCGGGCGCCAGCCGGCGUCUCCAACCUUUUUUUCUCAGGUUGACCUCGGAUCAGGUAGGGAUACCCGCUGAACUUAAGC
This 315-nucleotide unclassified non-coding RNA is filed under the name plant metagenome. RNAcentral's name for it is "partial contains 5.8S ribosomal RNA, internal transcribed spacer 2, and large subunit ribosomal RNA". The stretch from base 1 to 105 matches the Rfam family "5.8S ribosomal RNA", at positions 50 to 154 of the family's 154-position model. The record is from RNAcentral.